CCUACGGGAGGCAGCAGUGGGGAAUAUUGGACAAUGGGCGCAAGCCUGAUGCAGCAACGCCGCGUGAGGGAAGAAGGCCUUCGGGUUGUAAAGUUCUGUUCUCAGGGACGAAGAAAGUGACGGUACCGGAGGAAUAAGCCACGGCUAACUACGUGCCAGCAGCCGCGGUAAUACGUAGGGUGCAAGCGUUAGCCGGUUUUAGUGGGUGUAAAGGGCGGGGAGGCGGGAGUGCAAGUCAGAUGUGAAAACGCAGGGCUCAACCCUGGGGCUGCAUUUGAAACUGGGUUUCUUGAGUGCUGGAGAGGCGAUCGGAAUUCCGUGUGUAGCGGUGAAAUGCGUAGAGAUAAGGAGGAACACCAGUGGCGAAGGCGGAUCGCUGGACAGUAACUGACGCUGAGGCGCGAAAGCGUGGGGAGCAAACAGGAUUAGAUACCCGUGUAGUC
Molecule: ribosomal RNA, 443 nt
Filed under: uncultured bacterium
Lineage: Bacteria
Description: partial 16S ribosomal RNA
Rfam family: Bacterial small subunit ribosomal RNA
Source: RNAcentral